CCUACGGGAGGCAGCAGUGGGGAAUAUUGCACAAUGGGGGAAACCCUGAUGCAGCGACGCCGCGUGAGCGAUGAAGUAUUUCGGUAUGUAAAGCUCUAUCAGCAGGGAAGAAAAUGACGGUACCUGACUAAGAAGCCCCGGCUAACUACGUGCCGGCAGCCGCGGUAAUACGUAGGGGGCAAGCGUUAUCCGGCUUUACUGGGUGUAAAGGGAGCGUAGACGGCGGUGCAAGCCAGAUGUGAAAGCCCGGGGCUCAACUCCGGGACUGCUUUUGAAACUGCUGA
Molecule: ribosomal RNA, 284 nt
Filed under: uncultured bacterium
Lineage: Bacteria
Description: partial 16S ribosomal RNA
Rfam family: Bacterial small subunit ribosomal RNA
Source: RNAcentral